GCCAGACUCCUACGGGAGGCAGCAGUGGGGGAUAUUGGACAAUGGGGGGAACCCUGAUCCAGCGACGCCGCGUGAGUGAAGAAGUAUUUCGGUAUGUAAAGCUCUGUCAGCAGGGAAGAAAGAAAUGACGGUACCUGACUAAGAAGCCCCGGCUAACUACGUGCCAGCAGCCGCGGUAAUACGUAGGGGGCAAGCGUUAUCCGGAUUUACUGGGUGUAAAGGGAGCGUAGACGGUGCAGCAAGUCUGAUGUGAAAGGUCGGGGCCCAACCCCGGGACUGCAUUGGAAACUGUGCGGCUAGAGUACUGGAGGGGCAGGCGGAAUUCCUAGUGUAGCGGUGAAAUGCGUAGAUAUUAGGAGGAACACCAGUGGCGAAGGCGGCCUGCUGGACUGCAACUGACGUUGAGGCUCGAAGGCGUGGGGAGCAACCAGGAUUAGAUACCCCCGUACCC
RNAcentral lists this ribosomal RNA (451 nucleotides) under uncultured bacterium. RNAcentral describes it as "bacterial SSU rRNA". It matches the Rfam family "Bacterial small subunit ribosomal RNA", at positions 330 to 795 of the family's 1533-position model. The record is from RNAcentral.